RNAcentral lists this long non-coding RNA (761 nucleotides) under Bemisia tabaci. RNAcentral's name for it is "lncRNA ENSSSA1NGG002961". The record is from RNAcentral. Lineage: Eukaryota; Metazoa; Arthropoda; Insecta; Hemiptera; Aleyrodidae.
UUCUAGAGACACCAUAUCAAUACUCAACGCUUUUAGCUAUUUCAGCGCUGGAUCAAGCUUUCAAGGCUUUAAAAUUCGAGCUGAGUAAAUCGACACGGAUGUAUCAACCAGCAAUGGAAUCAUACAAUAGUGAAGCCUUAUUUUUCAUCACAUAUGCUCAGUCCAUUUGCACAGUGAAAACUACAGAGCAGAAGAAUUUAGAUCACACUCUUGACACUUCAUUGGAAGACUCUCAGUUGUAAGUCUUGAUACAUAAUUCAUCUCAAAUCUAAGGCCUUGUCUCCACAGGCCGUUUCACGGGAUUUGUCCCUGGGAAAAAUCCCACUUACGAAGUUGGGAAAAAUAUUGAGUUAACCAAUAUUUUUCCCAGUACCAAGUAUGGUCCUCGUACUCCUAGGACCCACGGAGAGAGGAAGAAGUGAAAACGAAUUCUGCGAUAUUUUGUUGAAAACUCCAUCGUCCAUGUUUGUUUAGUUAAAAUAAUGUGUCUAAUUGUCAAAUGAGUGCAAUUAUUAUUUUAAUCCCGGUUAAAUACUCGACUUUAUCUAAUUUAUCUUCCCACGCAAACUAGUCGCAGGAUUGUAUGAGCCCCGUCCCGUGGAGACGGUAACUGGGAAAAAAUCAGAAGUUUCACUCCUGCGAUUCGAACUUGGGACAAAUCCCAUGAAAACGUCCCGUGGAGACAAGGCCUAUCCAAUUUUUUUCCGGGCCAGCUGUGCAUACAAUGGUAUUAGUGUGUUUGCAAAUGGUGAGCACUUUGA